UGGGGAAUUUUGCGCAAUGGGGGAAACCCUGACGCAGCAACGCCGCGUGCGGGAUGAAGGCCUUCGGGUUGUAAACCGCUUUCAGUAGGGAAGAAAAUGACGGUACCUACAGAAGAAGCUCCGGCUAACUACGUGCC
This 137-nucleotide ribosomal RNA is filed under the name uncultured bacterium. Its description in RNAcentral is "partial 16S ribosomal RNA". It matches the Rfam family "Bacterial small subunit ribosomal RNA", at positions 355 to 509 of the family's 1533-position model. The record is from RNAcentral.